AACGAACGCUGGCGGCGGGGCUUAGGCAUGCAAGUCGAGCGAGAAAGCCGAAAGGCGAGUAAAGCGGCGGUAAGGGUGAGUAAUGGGUAGUCAACGUACCGAGCUGACGCGAAUAAUCCUCCGAAAGGAGUUGUAAUGCGCGAUGAGACCACGCGCCCUCUGGGGCGAGGGGUCAAAGGUCGGGGGAUCCUUCGGGACCUGGCGCAGUUUGAGCGGACUACCUCUGAUUAGCUAGUUGGGCGGGGGAACGGCCCACCAAGGCGAUGAUCAGUAGCCGGCCUGAGGAGGGGUGUUCGGCCAUACUGGGACUGAGACACUGCCCAGACUCCGUACGGGAGGCUGCAGUCGCGAAUCAUUCACAAUGGACGCAAGUCUGAUGAUGCCACGCCGCGUGCGGGAUGAA
RNAcentral lists this ribosomal RNA (403 nucleotides) under uncultured bacterium. Its description in RNAcentral is "bacterial SSU rRNA". It matches the Rfam family "Bacterial small subunit ribosomal RNA", at positions 29 to 412 of the family's 1533-position model. The record is from RNAcentral.